ACCCUGAUCCAGCCAUGCCGCGUGUGUGAAGAAGGCCUUUUGGUUGUAAAGCACUUUAAGCGAGGAGGAGGCUACCUAGAUUAAUACUUUAGGAUAGUGGACGUUACUCGCAGAAUAAGCACCGGCUAACUCUGUGCCAGCAGCCGCGGUAAUACAGAGGGUGCGAGCGUUAAUCGGAUUUACUGGGCGUAAAGCGUGCGUAGGCGGCCAAUUAAGUCAAAUGUGAAAUCCCCGAGCUUAACUUGGGAAUUGCAUUCGAUACUGGUUGGCUAGAGUAUGGGAGAGGAUGGUAGAAUUCCAGGUGUAGCGGUGAAAUGCGUAGAGAUCUGGAGGAAUACCGAUGGCGAAGGCAGCCAUCUGGCCUAAUACUGACGCUGAGGUACGAAAGCAUGGGGAGCAAACAGGAUUAGAUACCCUGGUAGUCCAUGCCGUAAACGAUGUCUACUAGCCGUUGGGGCCCUUGAGGCUUUAGUGGCGCAGCUAACGCGAUAAGUAGACCGCCUGGGGAGUACGGUCGCAAGACUAAAACUCAAAUGAAUUGACGGGGGCCCGCACAAGCGGUGGAGCAUGUGGUUUAAUUCGAUGCAACGCGAAGAACCUUACCUGGCCUUGACAUACAGAGAACUUUCCAGAGAUGGAUUGGUGCCUUCGGGAACUCUGAUACAGGUGCUGCAUGGCUGUCGUCAGCUCGUGUCGUGAGAUGUUGGGUUAAGUCCCGCAACGAGCGCAACCCUUUUCCUUACUU
Molecule: ribosomal RNA, 745 nt
Filed under: gut metagenome
Description: bacterial SSU rRNA
Rfam family: Bacterial small subunit ribosomal RNA
Source: RNAcentral